RNAcentral lists this ribosomal RNA (253 nucleotides) under uncultured bacterium. Its description in RNAcentral is "partial 16S ribosomal RNA". It matches the Rfam family "Bacterial small subunit ribosomal RNA", at positions 524 to 776 of the family's 1533-position model. The record is from RNAcentral.
UACGUAGGGUGCGAGCGUUGUCCGGAAUUAUUGGGCGUAAAGGGCUCGUAGGCGGUUUGUCGCGUCGGGAGUGAAAACCUUGGGCUUAACUCAGGGCUUGCUUUCGAUACGGGCAGACUAGAGGUAUGCAGGGGAGAACGGAAUUCCUGGUGUAGCGGUGAAAUGCGCAGAUAUCAGGAGGAACACCGGUGGCGAAGGCGGUUCUCUGGGCAUUACCUGACGCUGAGGAGCGAAAGCAUGGGGAGCGAACAGG